CGUGCAGGCGGUUUGAUAAGUUGGAUGUGAAAGCUCCUGGCUUAACUGGGAGAGGUCGUUCAAAACUAUCAGACUAGAGAAUGGUAGAGGAAGAUGGAAUUCCCGGUGUAGUGGUGAAAUGCGUAGAUAUCGGGAGGAACACCAGUGGCGAAGGCGGUCUUCUGGCCCAUUUCUGACGCUCAGACGCGAAGGCUAGGGUAGCAAACG
RNAcentral lists this ribosomal RNA (207 nucleotides) under uncultured bacterium. RNAcentral's name for it is "partial 16S ribosomal RNA". It matches the Rfam family "Bacterial small subunit ribosomal RNA", at positions 568 to 774 of the family's 1533-position model. The record is from RNAcentral.